Long non-coding RNA from Cygnus olor (mute swan), 3521 nucleotides. RefSeq lists it as uncharacterized. The record is from RefSeq and is a predicted model, not a curated record. The transcript has 2 exons. NCBI's taxonomy places the organism in Eukaryota, Metazoa, Chordata, Aves, Anseriformes, Anatidae.
UUAGGGGAAAAAAAAUGUUAGAGUGAGGAAAAAAGAAGAGUGGGAGAGAGAAAGAAGAAAUUUGGAAAUCUAGAAGAGGCAGAUGACGGGCUGUGCUCCACCAGGACAGGGAUGCCUUCUUGGACUACUGACACCAAGAAACUGCACAUGGGACAACAGGUUAUCCUACACUGAGCCGGGAUGCACUCAAGGGCUGUUAAUAUUUAUGGUUGGAGUUACUGUGGUUUUAAUAGUGAUAGUAAUUUAGAUACCAAAAUUUUAACAUGGGGACAGCUACAUGGAUUAUUUUUAUCAUAUUAUUAGGAGCCUUUCUUGGAAAACCUGAAAAUUCAAAUCUCAUAUUGUGAUUAAUUCAAGCUUUUGGGUACAUGGAUAAUGUUAGUCAAAUCACAGAAUGCCUUUCCCUUCCCCAGUCUGCCAGUUCACCAGUGACUUGGGGAAUAACGACCAUGGGACUGACCUAAACUUGGGAGGCUACGUGGAAAACACAAAACCAUACCAAUUUAACAUGGCACAUUGAGGAAGGGAAAUACGUCCUACAGUGGACCCUUAAGAAAAAUGUAACCAUAGAUAAUUGAAAUAUCACUAAGCUACCACUAAAAACUAAGGCUGAUGGUGAAAAAGCUGCGACAAUCUAUUGUCUGGAGAAAAGUACACAAACACACCAUGGAGAAUGCAUAUUCCUAAGGUGAGAGCACCUCAGCAUGAUGACUGGUAUUACAUGCAGAUUACUGACUGGUGUAUUAAUUGGGAUGGGACCACUGGGUUACCAAAUGAUCCCAUACAGGUCAAUAUCUGAUAUGCAAACUUUAAUAUUGCUCAUCGAUAGCUCAAGAUACUAUAACUGGAAUAUAACUUGCAGCAGUUGAGAGGCUGGAAUUCAAAGAUUGGGCCUGGUAGCUCAAGCUUUCCAAAUAUGCUGCAUUUGUUGUAACUGUACCACCCCAAUUAAUGACGCUUGGUCUCAUUUGACUAAUAAUGAUACCUGGUCUGAUACGAUUUGUUCAGAACUCACUAAACCCUCUACUGGACACACCGCACGGAUUAGUAGCGAUGGAACAUGGACUACAGACUUACCUGUGAGAAGUCAGCGAUGCCAACAUGUGCUGGAAGCGUUAACACUUUGCCACCUCUGGAGAGAACAACACCUUGCACCAGCUCCAUGGGGACGAACCAAAAGGUAAUCAAAAGACCCUUGUCAAUACACCAAGACAGGAACUGUAGUUGAAUGGGCCCUGGAAUCAGUUUUCACACCUCAAGUCACAGCAUUCCAGCAUCAAAGGAUGUUGUGUAACCUCACCAGGCAGAUUGCAGCACUGGCUAGUGCAAUUCGGGUCACGCUGGAAAAACUGAAUAUGCAACUACAGGCAAUGUCGAACAUGGCACUACAGAACAGACUGACAUUAGAUUUGCUAUUGUUGCAUGAAAAUGGAGUGUGUGGAUACUUGGACUUGGACAACAGUGCCUGCUGCAUCCAUAUACCAAUAGUAACACAGUACCUUAAUGAACAGACAGCAUGAGGUACAUGGCAAAAGCGAGUAGAGACUUUACAGAAAGCAUGGAAGGAGGAUGGUUGAACAAACUUUUGCAUGGAUUAGGAUUCUCACUAUCAGGAUGGCUUGUUUCUUUUUUACAAUCUACAUUGACAGUAAUUAUUGUAACUCUUCUGUUUUAUUAGCUUGCAUCAAAUGCAUGCUAACUUGGAUGUUGAUUCAUCGGUUGUGCAUGAUGUCUGUAUGGACUGAAUUAGAGCUGUGUCUAGGUUGAGAUGAAGAAAAUUUGAACAUAAGGGAUACCCCCAAGGUUGAUUCCAUGCAAGCAUGAUUUGUAUCUUGAAUUGAGUGACUAUAGUCACCGGGUGGAUAAUGUGGAGAAGAGUCAGACUUGUUAGUGUCACUGUUAAACACCAGCCUUGGGCAAAAGGUUGUUGGGCAGCUUGCUCCUGUUUAUCUCUUAUACAAACUAUGUGGACGGAGGUCUGCAGGUUUGGUAUGAGAGGCUGCUGAAGGACGGAGUCUUGUGUUGGCAGGACGGCCCUGCUUUGGCGGCAGAACAGAAUCUUGAAGGCCAUGGUGCCUGAGUGAAACCUUUUGCUUCAUUAGGGGUAAAAUGGAUAUUAAAGUUAAUGCCCCUGAAUACAAUAAUGAGCUUAAUGAAGUACAUGCUAAACAUACGUGACUAUAGCACUCGACUCUCCACCCAAAAUCAUGCUAAACAUCACCUGAGGGAGGGAACAGAUAAGGUUAGGUUAUAAAAGAGUGUUAGGAAUUAGUGUAAAUAACAAAAAGAUUAGUGUUAGGAGGAAAAAAUAGUGUUAGGAAAAAAAGAGUGAGGAAAAAGUAGAGUGGGGGUGACAAGGAAGAAACUGGAAAUCUAGACGAGGCAGUCAACAGGCUAUGCUCCUUCUCCUCCACCAGGACAGGGAUGCCUUCUUGUUAAGCUCUGUGCCUUCACCCUUUGGUGAGGAAUACCCAGGAUAGCAUUUUGUUAGCAUUAUUACCAUAUAUUAGCACUAUUGCAGUAAGUAAAUUUAUAAAUGACUGUUCCAAAUCUGUUAUAUAUGUCACCUUAUUAAAUAAGUUCAGCUUUGUGAAACUGUCUUAGUGAAAGUCCCUAGCAGGGCUCUGAAACAGGUAAAUGUUUGACUUGGACAAAUCCCCUUUAACGUGACAUGGACUCAAAGUAUGGACUUCAGAAUAGCUUUCUUUUUCCUAUCCCCAGUUCUAAUAUAGAACACUUAUAUUUCCACUGCUACCCACGAUCAGUAGGGUAGCUUUUAUUGUUUAUCUAUUUCUUUUUACACUGUUAUAUCUUUAUAUUCUAAUAGUCCCAUGAGGGUUUUGAAAGAGAAAACCUUUAAAAAUCUUGUAAUUUGAUACUUACCAGCAGCAUAUACAUCACUCUAUAGGCCCCUCAUAGCCCUAGGAAAUCUCAGUUCCCUGUUCAGUACCUUCCUGGAUCAUUUGCAUUUGCAACCAACCAAAGGUUUCAGACUGAUCUCAUCACUACCUUUCCAUAGAAACCAUUUUCCUUUUUGCUGACCCGAUCAUGGUUUUAUUGGCAUUAUCCUCUUAUUGUCAUCUAAGAACAAUGUAAUUUCUGAAGUUUUUACCUGUUGCCUUUCUACUGGAAAUUCAGGUUUAACCAAAAGCUACUGCCCAGUACAUCUUGUCCCCUUCAGAGAACAACACUUUGGCUCAGUGGAUUGGUGUAAAUGUAGUUAAAUAAAACAUUCUUUUUCUUUUUUUUUUUAAUCAAUAUCUUGCUUAUAUUCAGAUCCUCAGCAGCAAUAUCUGAUAGCUGAUCUAUAUUAUGUGAUAGAUGUGAUCUGUGGUAGCUGAUCUAUAUUAUGGCCAAUCACAAGAGUGAAUGUGUUCUGUAAUUCUGUGAUUCUGCGAUCUCUGUUAGGUAUAGCUGUGUGCUUUCCUUUUUGUUCUGUACUUUCAUAGAUGUGUUGCUACUGUUGCAAUUUAUGUAAUCUUCAAUUCAGUUAUAUCCAUAUUAAAAAACCUAACAUUUAA